GCUACAAACGAGAGGCCCACAACACAAACCGGGAACUGCCUCCAAGCCCGGCUUCCCGGCUCUUUGGCUCCCUGAGCUUUAACCAACUUGCCUAGAAGACAGAGCUUGGCGCAAAGACCUCCUACCCAGAUCUGUGGCUGUCAGGACAGAACCCCGAGGGCACAAAACACCCAAAGAACUGCCAGCAGCGAGCCACGUGCACCUGUGACCCUGCAGGGGCCCCCACAGGUAAACAUACAGAUUAUGGUUCCAUAAGGACGUCUAUAGCUCCAAGCAACUUAUGUGAUUUAUUUGGAUACCAGUACCUUCAACUUCAUAAAGUGGAAAUCACAUUUAUCUUCAAGAGUCCUCGGUUUUCAUACCAGCUCAGUGUGAAGCACCCACUUCAGUGUCUGGUCCACAAUGAGAUAACAAACAUAACUCCUAUCUGUUCCAUUCUGCUCUUUGUGUUGUCUAUUAACUGUGGAUGACCUGAUUUGCUUUAAAAAUCCCUCACUGACUUACAGAAACUCACUGAGGAAGUCCCUUUAAAGCAGCCAGAUGGAGCUCCCGAUAUGAAGAGUCCCAGGCAGAGCCAAGUGACCCACACAUGAGGUUCCCAAGCAAACACCAAUAACAGAAGGGAUGAAGUACUGAUGAUAUUCUCUGGACCUUGGAAUGGGCAAUUGUUGUUUUGGACAUGACCUCAAUAAAAAAGACAAAACAAGAAAAACAGACAAAGGGGGACCACCAAACCGAAAAGCUACUGCACAGCUGAUGACCUCACUCAUGUGAAAUCUAAGAAGGUAGGUCUCAGUAUUUAAGAGUAAAACAGAAGGUGGGGAGAGGAGGAUGAGGGAGGGCUGGGAGCAGGUUGGUAAAUGGGUCCUGAAAUAUGAGGAUAGAAAUAUGUGAUGGUGUGCUGUUUCACAUCAUCAUGGCUAAAAUGCUAAGGUACUACAUAACCCCGCCAGCACCAAAACAAAACUUAGGAGAUAGGAUAGUGGGUGUUUUUAUCCCCAAGAAAGGAUAAAUGCUUCAGAAGACUGCUAUACACAACCCAAUUUGACCAUUAAUAAUGACGUACAAAUAGAGAAAUAUUGCAUGAUACCCCACAGAUAAAUAAACUAAACAAGUUAAAAUUCUAAAAGCAU
Long non-coding RNA from Peromyscus eremicus (cactus mouse), 1133 nucleotides. RefSeq lists it as uncharacterized. The record is from RefSeq and is a predicted model, not a curated record. NCBI's taxonomy places the organism in Eukaryota, Metazoa, Chordata, Mammalia, Rodentia, Cricetidae. The transcript is spliced from 5 exons.